UAAGUAAGUGGUGGAAAUUAAACCAAAUGGGAUAUCUUUAGUAAUUGCGAAUGAACAAGGAUAUGCUUAGCUUGACAAAUGGAGCGAUUGGCUUUGAAUUGUAUUUGUGGAAUGUAUUACCAACAGAGGUGCAGGUGCCAGCCUAUUAAAUAAAGCGUCAAUGAGGGUGAGAAUCCUGUUUGUCAUGUGCAGCCCUUUGUGCACGGUGUAUAUUUGCUGAGUCACACUCCUUGGCAUUGGAAUGCAAAGUGGGUGGUAAGUUUCAUGUACAGGUAAACAUGCAAUUGAGACUGAUAGCACACAAGUACCAUGAGGGAAAUAUGAAAAGGACUUUGAAAAGAGAAUUAAAUGAGUUUGUAUUUGCUGAACACAAAGUAAACAGACUUGGUUUGCUUGGUGGGAGUGUUGCACUUGCUUGACAAGAGCUUUGGGCUGUGGGUGUAAUGACUCUUUCUUUGCAUGCCAGUUUCUAUUUGUACAUCUGAUUACCUUUGCACAUGAAUGAUAAGUCUCCUGUGGGGGUGGAUUGCAUGUGCAUGUAAUGAUUUGUGUUUUGAUAAAUGUGCCUGGUGUAUGUGUGUGUUCCUGUGCUUGGGGAUGCUUCCUUCCUUGGACUUACAAGCCCUGACACACACAUGCUGGCAAAAUGCUUCUGCUUGACCCG
This 664-nucleotide ribosomal RNA is filed under the name Alexandrium tamarense. RNAcentral's name for it is "eukaryotic LSU rRNA". It matches the Rfam family "Eukaryotic large subunit ribosomal RNA", at positions 43 to 651 of the family's 3401-position model. Lineage: Eukaryota; Dinophyceae; Gonyaulacales; Pyrocystaceae. The record is from RNAcentral.